Molecule: long non-coding RNA, 1497 nt
Organism: Diachasmimorpha longicaudata
Lineage: Eukaryota; Metazoa; Arthropoda; Insecta; Hymenoptera; Braconidae
Exons: 2
Source: RefSeq, a predicted model, not a curated record
CUUUCCUUCUGUCUCUCUCGCACCUCCACCGUUCAAAAGACUCGCUGGAAACAUCUGCCCAUUCUAGACGACUUAACAAAUAAAUGCUUUUUCACUCGCUCCAUCACCUGCAAUUAUUCCCAGACAGAUAAUAAUGAAGUCAAUGGAGAGAAGGGGAGUCUUUCCUAGCUUCAGAUAAGGAAUCGAUGGGAGUUUUACCCUGGGGAAAAUUUGCCCGUGGGAACAAUGGAACCGCAAAGUAUAAAUUGACUUAUCGUUGAGCGGAAUAAAAUUAAUGAAAUUUCCAACGUAACUUUUUGGUGGUACAUUAGAUUUAAUGAGAAAUAUGAAAGCUGAGAGAAUUUUUGAUAAGCUGAGGGUCAUUAACGGGGGAGGGAUAGUGCAAAUGUGUCAAGCGGCUAUAGAUAUUUCUCUUGACCUCAGCAGCCUUAUGGAUCGUGCAAACUCAUGGAUUUUUCAUGCAAAUGAGGAGAAAAAAUAAGGCAGAACAAUAGAUGAAGAAAGAGGAAUUGUAGGAAGAAUAGAUAUGGUGAUUCAAUAGACAUUACACAAAGUUGAUCUAUACCUCAGUGAGUUGCUAAAUAAAACAAAUUUUUAGAUGAUUCUCUUGUGACUGAUGAAUCUCGCUAGGUCUCAUAGAAUAUCAGUGAUAGGGUGAUGUGGCGUGCACGUAGGCGAAUGAUUAAAAAGCCAUUGAAAUACUGUCUUGCGCUGUAUUAAUGGAUCUUUGACAUUUCUGUCACUUCUACGGUUUAUGACGGCAGUAUGAAAUUCCAUGAAAAAAUUAAUCUUCUAUUGGACUGUAUCAUCCACCAAUUCUCACAAGCUUCAAUUAAAAAAAAAUCGUGGAGAUAUCUUCCGCUAUCCCACUCUAUCUUCGAGAGAACAAAAAAUUUUGGGCUCAACAUAAAAUUAAGUCAAUACAUUUGACGAUGAACUCGAAAAUUUUAGUGGCAAAAACAUGCCGGAUGACACGAUUAUACUCACCGAGAGAGACGACCACGCGCGCCCUGUCACACUGCCCACGCGCUUCACCCAUUACCGCUAAUCAACUCUUUAGAUAAAUCCGGAACAAUUUUCAUAUUUAGCAUAUAAUAUAUGAUCUUUUUCACGAGUUAUACUAUUUACAGUGAGUACAAUUAAAAUUAUACCAUACAUUGCUAAAGCUUUUCACUCAUAAAACUUACACAUGGGAAUGAUGUCAUUAAAACACUUGUUCUUUUGGCACUCUUUUCUCCCGUUCUCCCGUAGUUUUAUAAUUCUUUCCAAUAAAUCACAAUUGUUCGACAAUGUCAUGAUCAUUGACAUACGGAAUUCUCACGAGCCUUUGUGAAUGUUUUGUUUUUUUCAAUUCUUUUUCAAAAUAGGCUAUUGUCUUUGUGAGACCUUCAGUCAGGGAUACUUUUGGCUCCCAAUUGAGGAACUUCUUUGCUCGACUUAUGUCGGGUCUCCUUCUCUGGGGAUCGUCUUCUACUGCCGCUAACUCGACUAUUUUGC